RNAcentral lists this ribosomal RNA (218 nucleotides) under uncultured bacterium. Its description in RNAcentral is "partial 16S ribosomal RNA". It matches the Rfam family "Bacterial small subunit ribosomal RNA", at positions 328 to 539 of the family's 1533-position model. The record is from RNAcentral.
ACGCUCGACACCUACGGGAGGCAGCAGUGAGGAAUAUUGGUCAAUGGACGCAAGUCUGAACCAGCCAUGCCGCGUGCAGGAUGACGGCUCUAUGAGUUGUAAACUGCUUUUGUACGAGGGUAAACGCAGAUACGUGUAUCUGUCUGAAAGUAUCGUACGAAUAAGGAUCGGCUAACUCCGUGGCAGCAGCCGCGGUAAUCUGAGCGGGCUGGCAAGGC